This 492-nucleotide ribosomal RNA is filed under the name uncultured bacterium. Its description in RNAcentral is "partial 16S ribosomal RNA". It matches the Rfam family "Bacterial small subunit ribosomal RNA", at positions 29 to 507 of the family's 1533-position model. The record is from RNAcentral.
AGUGAACGCUGGCGGUAGGCCUAACACAUGCGAGUCGAACGGCAGCACAGAAAGAGCUUGCUCUUACGGGUGGCGAGUGGCGGACGGGUGAGGAAUACAUCGGAAUCUACUUUUUCGUGGGGGAUAACGUAGGGAAACUUACGCUAAUACCGCAUACGACCUACGGGUGAAAGCAGGGGAUCUUCGGACCUUGCGCGAUUGAAUGAGCCGAUGUCGGAUUAGCUAGUUGGCGGGGUAAAGGCCCACCAAGGCGACGAUCCGUAGCUGGUCUGAGAGGAUGAUCAGCCACACUGGAACUGAGACACGGUCCAGACUCCUACGGGAGGCAGCAGUGGGGAAUAUUGGACAAUGGGCGCAAGCCUGAUCCAGCCAUACCGCGUGGGUGAAGAAGGCCUUCGGGUUGUAAAGCCCUUUUGUUGGGAAAGAAAAGCAGCAGGUUAAUACCCCGCUGUUCUGACGGUACCCAAAGAAUAAGCACCGGCUAACUUCGUG